CCCAUACCGAACAAAUUCUUUCCCUAAGUUUUUCCCAGUCCUCGUUCUGCCGAGAGGAAUUGAUGUUCAAUUCGGCCACGACAUCAUCAUCAACUUCCAAUUUCUUGUACUGCUCGAUCAAGGACUUAGUUCGCUCAAUUUCUUGGGAGGCGUUACGCUUUUUCGCAGCCAUUCUCGCCUUGCAGUCGUCCAUUUUGGCCUGAAGUUCCUUCAUCUGAG
This 219-nucleotide long non-coding RNA is filed under the name Olea europaea (common olive). RNAcentral describes it as "long non-coding RNA (OEUR_LNC011165)". The record is from RNAcentral. Lineage: Eukaryota; Viridiplantae; Streptophyta; Magnoliopsida; Lamiales; Oleaceae.